RNAcentral lists this long non-coding RNA (661 nucleotides) under Chinchilla lanigera (long-tailed chinchilla). RNAcentral describes it as "lncRNA (ENSCLAG00000027793.1)". The record is from RNAcentral. Lineage: Eukaryota; Metazoa; Chordata; Mammalia; Rodentia; Chinchillidae.
CUUGGCUCUCCAAUUUUUUUCUGCUGUGGGUUAUAUUCUUCUUAGAAACACGUGGUUCCCAGGAAUGACUGCUGUGUUGCUGAUCAGUGGCUGAAAUGCCACUGAUUUGGGGUGUUGGUCCAUGGUUCGUUAUUGCUCUCUCCAGCUUGUAUUUAUCCAGAUGAUGUUUCUCAAAAUAAGAGACAUCAGAAAACUCCAGUAAUUGAGGAAGCAAGAAUAUCUAACCCUAGAGUACAACUUUUUAUGAACACUGUGUACUUCAUGACACACAGGGGAUGUUUUAAAAACAGACAUUGGUGUUCGGAAACAGCAAUCAGAAGCCAACUUGGGAGAUGCCUCCAGGAAAGUAUUUUGAAAAUAGGUGGGAAAUUUUUCCAAAGAAGGGCAGAAAAAAAGGCAUGCUGCUUAGUGCCAGUACCGGCAUGAAGUCAAGUUCUUCUUUCCAAGAGCUUAUCUUCUGCAGGAGAGAGAAACAGCAAAAAAAUAAAUGAAUGAAUGAGUGAGUGAGCAGAAGAAUGAUUACAGAUGGUAGAAAAUGCUAUGGAGAAGAUCAAUAACAAGCAGGAUAUUAGUACAUGCGCAGGAGAGAAACAGAUUACUUUUACAUUGAAAAAUGAUAUGGGCUGAGUGGUCUAGAUCAGGAAAAGAAGGACAUUUGAGA